CCCCGGCCGGAAGCACAGGGACUUGGGCCCACAUUCCUGGAUGCCGCGAUUAUUACUCGGCAUCUGUACAGGGAACGUGGGUGCCUGGAACAUCUGGGCUGCCUUUGGACCAAAACGUCUGGGUCAUGUGCCCAGCCUCCCUUUUGUGACCUUCCCAAGGGGGCAGGCCAGGUCGGCAGGGAACUGGAACUAUUUUUGAGAAGGCCACUGGCAGAGGUCGCCUCAUCCACUGCCCAAGUACCCCACAUUCUCUGUUCUCUAGGCCAAGAGUUUGUGGAGCUAUUGAAAUGGGAGUAAGGGAGGAGCAAGGCCAAAGGAGAGGAGGAAGAGUACGCAAACUGGCCUGUCCAUAAUAUAAAGUUUAACUGGACACUGGUCAGAUGGAGUUCUGAGAAGCACCAAUGAAGACAUCAGUCUGUGAAGACCCUCGUCCACGUCCAAUCCUUGCUAGAUGGUCUUAUCAGUGGUCCUCCUGAUGUCUCAGCCCUCUGAGGAAAGCAUCUGGACCUGGCCUGGCCGAGGGGCACUGCAUGAGGAGCUUUUUCAGGUCACAGGCUGUCUGGGCUUUCUCCGCCUGAGUGGAUGUGUUUGCAAAGUGGAUGAGUGACCUUUCAUUCCUGGACACCCAGAGGGCCAAUCAGUCUGUUCUUGCUCCACUGAGAAAACUGAAUAAAGUGCUUGCCACUUGAAAUGAGAGUAAGGCAUAAAUAACUAUAAAAAUAAGCAAGCCCCAACCCCCUCAAAGCUCAAACACAGUUGAAGCACUUUGUGUUUUAAGGCACCCUGAGUCUGGCAGAUGAAGAAGCCUUUUCUCGUGUUUCCUCCUGCAAUGUGAAAAAUCACUUCACUGGAAAAGAUCUCUGCCAGGCCAGAAAGCCUGUGCACCCCAGCCGCAUGCUGCACCCCCGUCAUGUUCUCUUCUCUCAGAAGUGCUGGGACCAUCGUUUCCACUCGGGUGGCUGGCAGGAUGCUUAUGUAAUCAUCACCUGCCAGGAGCCACUGAUAUACACACUUGUCCUGGACAACCAUGCUACCCUGACAGACGUGAUUGUGAGGCCACAGGACAGCUUUGUCAGAAUAGAUCCUGUAGGAAACACAAACUCCAAAAUGAGAAAGACAAUGAUCUUGGAGAACUCCCAAUGGGAGAGGCUGUUCUUUGGGGGCUCUGCCACCCAGCAGUCCCCCCAAGUAAGCGCUAAUGCUGCAGCAAAGUGUAAGCAACCACUACUUUUGCAUUUAAAGGCUAGUAAGUCAGACCCUGUAUAUAUGACCAUAAUAAACAAUUUCUGUAAUUUUGGUAA
Molecule: long non-coding RNA, 1301 nt
Organism: Homo sapiens (human)
Lineage: Eukaryota; Metazoa; Chordata; Mammalia; Primates; Hominidae
Exons: 3
Source: RefSeq, a predicted model, not a curated record